Non-coding RNA from Rattus norvegicus (Norway rat), 542 nucleotides. The record is from RefSeq and is a predicted model, not a curated record. Lineage: Eukaryota; Metazoa; Chordata; Mammalia; Rodentia; Muridae.
AGAAUCAUCUGGCAGACAGGCCUCUGGUGAGAAGACACACCUGAACCCCACCAUUUCAAUGGCCGGGCCCUGGACUGAAUGAGGAGGAGAGAAGGAGCUGAGUACCAUGGGCCACAUUUAUCUCUUGCUCUCUGCUUCUCUGUGUGGAUACAACGUGACUAGCUUCCAGUUUCUGCUGCCUUGAUUUUUUACAACAGAUGAUACAGAGAAGACAUCCUUUGCUGAGAGAUUUGCUGUUCGUCCACUCUCUGAGAUGCUACAGACAAGGCCGUUCCCCAGUCUCUCAAUGAGUUAUGUAUGGCCCUGCACACACGGGAACAUCCCGCUGACUCUCAUGGAUGAAGACCGUGAGGCUGAGUGGUACAAAUGAAGCUUAGGUCCAUCAGAACCAGGCUCUCGUCUGGUCUGAAACUUGGACUGGCCAAUUCUGAUUCUGGGCUAUACAAGACAUGCUGGAGAGCUUAGCAGGGGAGUACGCUGGUGUCCCAUUGAUGCUCAGUGGCAAUAAACCAAGUGACCAAGGUGGCUUAGCAACCCAUAUA